ACAUACUGCGAGGUACUAGCUUUGAUGAGAUCUGGUUUUCUGGAAAAAAAAAAAAGGGAGAAGGAACUCAGUGAAUAUUGCCCUGGGUCCUGGUAAUUCCACCUACUGAAGACAACUGCCCCUUCUGCUCAUAUUUCCUGAGUCAACAUGGCCGUUCCUAACUUUGAAGAGACUUUAGACAUUCUUUGUUACAAUGAACCUAGAAGAAAGAAGAGAAAUAUUACAGCGACUGUGCCCGGGACUGUAAGGCGGAUAAGACCCAGCAGGUCCUGUUCCUUGCCGAGGAGGUUAAGUCUCUCCCGAUGGUGGCUGGGUGCACUGCUUUCCUCUGAGGCCAUUUGCUGGAUUUCAAGAGACCGUCCUUCCUCGAUCAUAAUUCCCAGAGGCUUUUGUGAGUGGCUUCCGGAAGUCUUUGUUUUGAGACGAGGAGUCACUCCCUGUGUUGCUGAGCGUGUCACUGAAUUCCUCUGACCUCUGAGGUGAGGAGAUUCUCUCACCUCAGCCUCCGCGUCCCUAGAAGUUGGUACCCUGAAUUGACAGCACCACAUCUGACUUAAAAAAAUAAUUAAUUUUUUAAAGCAAUGGCGCCCUCCCAUCUAGCAGAAUGCACAGUAGGUGUGCAUAGCCUCCAUUUUAUAUGCCAUUGUAAGGAUGAGUUCUGUUUGAAACCUACAGAGCAAAGCACACGUAUGUGGUUCAAACCUAUAAUCUGGCAGGGUGAGAACAGAAGGUACUGACUGAGGAGGCAUAAGUUACCCUUUGCCAGACAAUAGACGGAGAAAGGAGUAAGGAGGAGUGGGAAAGGGUCCAGGUGGAAAGGUCGAUGACUUUGGGAGCAUCGAGGGAAGGAGGUAAGGUUAGAGAAUGGCAAUUGGACGGUAGAUCUAGCAGGAAGGGGUGAACAUAGAGAUAGGAAGCUAAGAUUCUGGGAGGUAUACAAGGCAGGCUACCCCUCAGAACCAUGUGAGAAAGAGAGAGAGGGAGAAAGAAAGAAGGAAAGGAGAGAGGAAGGGAAGAAGGAAGGAAGGAAGAAAGAGAUGGCAUCUGUCAAUAUCUAGUCAAUCCCGGUAUGAUAUGGGCAGUAGGAAUGUUUAUGGGUAGGAAGGUGGGGUUAGGGUAGAGCACAGUGAUAAAGAAUGCUCAGCAGAAACAAGGCCUCGUGUAUCAUGUCAGCACACAAACAAAUAUCUCGUCAAAUCCCACAAUAACAUCAUCAUCACCAUCAUCAGCAGCAGCAGCAGCAGAAGUCCUAACAGGAAGUGGAGGUGACUGAAGGCAAACAUGGUUCUCUGGCCAAAGUACGCCUGUAUUUUCUAGAAAGUGCUUAGAAUAACAUACCUAAGAAAGAUAUGGAAAAUAGAUGGAUAUUAAAGAUACAGUUAUAUGUUUACAUCCUCCUGCCAUCACAACCUUAUUCAUAUGAAAUAGCCUACGAGGCGUUACAGUGUGGUUACCAUGCGCUACAUAUUGUUUGCUCUAUACUUCAAUGUAGAUAUGUGCUAUGAUUGUACACGGUGAUCUCAAGAGCAAGAUGAUGUGGUCGGGCAGGGAGACAUGUUUACCUUUGCUUUUAUUCACCAUUUAGAGUGUUGUAACAAUCUGUAGUACUUUCCUAAUCUGAAAAUAAAGGAGAAAAAACUUUAAAGAAUAAAAAUGAUUUAAAUCGGCUCCCA
Molecule: long non-coding RNA, 1673 nt
Filed under: Mus musculus (house mouse)
Lineage: Eukaryota; Metazoa; Chordata; Mammalia; Rodentia; Muridae
Description: POU domain, class 3, transcription factor 3 adjacent noncoding transcript 1
Source: RNAcentral